This 253-nucleotide ribosomal RNA is filed under the name uncultured bacterium. RNAcentral describes it as "partial 16S ribosomal RNA". It matches the Rfam family "Bacterial small subunit ribosomal RNA", at positions 524 to 776 of the family's 1533-position model. The record is from RNAcentral.
UACGUAGGGAGCAAGCGUUGUCCGGAAUCAUUGGGCGUAAAGCGCGCGUAGGCGGCCCUGUAAGUCCGUUGUGAAAGUCAAAGGCUCAACCUUUGAAAGCCGAUGGAUACUGCAGGGCUAGAGUCCGGAAGAGGCGAGUGGAAUUCCUGGUGUAGCGGUGGAAUGCGCAGAUAUCUGGAGGAACACCGGUGGCGAAGGCGGCAUCCUGGACCGGUAUUGACGCUGAUGCGCGAAAGCCAGGGGAGCAAACGGG